AGAAUCAACGCUGGCGGCGUGCCUAACACAUGCAAGUCGAACGAGAAAGUGGGAGCAAUCCCACGAGUAAAGUGGCGCACGGGUGAGUAACACGUGACUAACCUACCCUUGAGUGGGGGAUAACCUAGGGAAACCUGGGCUAAUACCGCAUAAUACCUACGGGUCAAAGGAGCAAUUCGCUUUAGGAGGGGGUCGCGGCAGAUUAGUUAGUUGGCGGGGUAAUGGCCCACCAAGACAGUGAUCUGUAUCCGGCCUGAGAGGGCGCACGGACACACUGGAACUGAAACACGGUCCAGACUCCUACGGGAGGCAGCAGUGGGAAUUUGCGCAAUGGGGGAAACCCUGACGCAGCAACGCCGCGUGGAGGAUGAAGCCCCUUGGGGCCGUAAACUCCUUUCGAUCGGGAAGAUAAUGACGGUACCGGAAGAAGAAGCCCCGGCUAACUUCGCGCCAGCAGCCGC
Molecule: ribosomal RNA, 461 nt
Filed under: uncultured bacterium
Lineage: Bacteria
Description: SSU rRNA
Rfam family: Bacterial small subunit ribosomal RNA
Source: RNAcentral